This 67-nucleotide transfer RNA is filed under the name Hexagonia terminalis. RNAcentral describes it as "tRNA-Ser". The record is from RNAcentral. Lineage: Eukaryota; Metazoa; Arthropoda; Insecta; Coleoptera; Carabidae.
AGUUAAUGAACUUGAAUAAGUAUAUGUUUUGAAAACAUAAUAAAGAAGUAAAAUCUUCUAUUAACUU